RNAcentral lists this ribosomal RNA (254 nucleotides) under uncultured bacterium. RNAcentral's name for it is "partial 16S ribosomal RNA". It matches the Rfam family "Bacterial small subunit ribosomal RNA", at positions 524 to 776 of the family's 1533-position model. The record is from RNAcentral.
UACGUAGGGGGGCAAGCGUUGUCCGGAUUUAUUGGGCGUAAAGAGCGUGUAGGCGGUCAGGUAGGUCAGCUGUGAAAACUCGAGGCUCAACCUCGAGACGCCGGUUGAAACCAUCUGACUAGAGUCCGGAAGAGGAGAGUGGAAUUCCUGGUGUAGCGGUGAAAUGCGCAGAUAUCAGGAAGAACACCCGUGGCUAAGGCGGCUCUCUAGUACGGUACUGACGCUGAGACGCGAAAGCGUGGGGAGCGAACAGG